This is a long non-coding RNA of Balaenoptera musculus (blue whale), 2446 nucleotides long. RefSeq lists it as uncharacterized. Lineage: Eukaryota; Metazoa; Chordata; Mammalia; Artiodactyla; Balaenopteridae. The record is from RefSeq and is a predicted model, not a curated record. The transcript is spliced from 3 exons.
CCCAGGGCCGCAGUCGCUUCGGCUAGCCUGCGAGUCUCAGUGGAAAAAGGGGUUCCAGAAGUGCGUCCCCCGGGCCGCUCACCCGGCACUGCAAUUGUGGGGGGAAGAGAAUAGAGGAGUGAAGAAGGGUGCAUUUUCCAUCUCACCUCGGUCCUCGGCUAGGAAAACCACGUAGCCCUGACCAGUGGGCUCAAGGCCCUGCUGGAAACUGGUUCUGAGUGUAUAUGUCUCAGCUUGAGAUGAGAAAAUGAGAACAAGUAACAAGCAUAUUUUUUCAACUGUAAAAUUGGUUUUCAAAUCUGCUAAUUGGUGAAAAGAGAUCAACUUCUCUCUCAAGUUACAGAAGCAGAAAUUCAACUGGUCCUUAUUAAUGAAAGAUCUUCAGUGAAGGUUGAAAGCCCUUCAGAUCAAUCAUACCACACUUUGAGCUCCUCUGGCCUCUGUGGUUCCCUCAUCUGUGCUCACAGCUCACAGGUGUGCAGGACAGCUAUGUCCAGGACUCACUGAGGACAAAAAUGGUUACUUAACCACGCAGUUGAAAUAUCCUUUCUAUGGAAGGUUAAAAAUCCCAGGAAGUCUGUGGGACUGGCUUUUGGAGUAUAGCUAUGAGUAAAAUAUUCUCUAGAUUUUCCCAAUGUAUUGUGAUUCAAUUUAUCAGAUAAAUGAGUUGUUGGAGGACUUUCAUUUAAAUUGACAAAUUUUCCUCCAGUAUAAAGUUCCAUAGGGACAUAGUCUUCAUUCUUUACCAAUUUCAGGUUGCCACUAAUGUCUAGAGGAACUAAAGGUAUUUAGCCUCAGGGUGAUAUAUGAGCUACUUUCAAAUAUUUGUAGAAUGUUAUAUAGAAGUAGUAGUAUACUUUUUCUCCAAAGUCAUAUGGGUGGGACAAAAUCUUAGUAAUCAUAGUUGUCCAGUAGACUACUUUGGAGGUUGUGACCCACCUCUACCUCUGGAGAUGUUCAGUAAAAGUGUGGAUGAUCAUUUGACAUGAAAGUCAUGUGUCAGAUAUUUCUUGGACCAGAUGGUAUGAAAGAGCUCUCCAAACCUGAAAGUUCUAAGAAUCUUUAAUGAGUAUUUUAAAAAAUUAUUUAAAAUUUUUUGUUGUUGUUGUUUUAGCAUGAAAUCUGAGGAAGAGCUGUUUGCUAGAGGCAAAAUGUAUGCCUAUGUUUUUAUACUUUUAAGUUUUAAAAUUGUUGCAUUAUUUUAUCUUUUUUCAGAUAGCUCACUGGAAAUAAAUAUGGAAAUUUCCUAAGAGGCUGAAUACUGAUGAGGUUGUAACUGAAUUUAGAAUUAUCUUCUGGACACAAUUCCUUGGGUGAUAUAGGAUCCUAAAUUUAUUUGUUUUACCUUUGUAUUUUGGAAAAGUUAAAACUUAUAAAAGUUGAUAAAUUAGUAUCCUGUGUGCCCAUCACCUAGCUGCAAGAAUUAUUAACUUACAGGGCAGAAUAAUGGCCCCUGCAAGAUGUCCAUGUCCUAAAGCCUGGAACUUGUUGAUAUGUUAGGUUAUGUGAUAAGCAAGAAUUAUGGUUACACAUGGAAUUAAGGUUGCUCAUCAGUUGAGGCUGAGAUGGGGGAGAUUAUCCUGAUUCUCCAGGUGGGAACAAUCUAAUCACAUGCAUCUUUGUAAGUGCAAGAAGGAGGCACUGGAGAGAGACCCAGAUAGAUGGCCAUGUGAGAAGGUAUUGGCUGAUGCUGUUGAAGAGAGAUGGAGGAAUGGGGCCUUGAGCCAAGGAAUGUGGCUAGCCUAUAAAAGCUGAAAAAGGCAAGGAAACAGAUUCUCCCCUAGAGCAGCCUGAAGGAUUGGAGGCCUGUCGACACCUUGAUUUUAGCCUAGUGAGACCUAAUUCAGAUUUCUUACCUACAGAACCAUAAGAUAAUAAAUUUGUGUUGUUCUAGGCCACUGAGUUUGAGGUAAUUUUUUAUAGCAGCUAUAGAAAACAGAUUUCUAAAAAAAAAGGGAGAGAGAGAGAAAGGCUGUCAAAAUGUGAAGGGAAUAAAAUAAUCCUUAAGGUUAAUGCUAAAAAUUUCUUUGAAUGUAUUUUACAAACCUAGCAAAGAAAGACUGCUUUUAUUUGUUGGCUUUGACUACAAAAGGAAUGGAUGUAAGUCUGAAUAUCUAUAAAAGAGAUUUGAAUAUAUAUACCAAAGUUUAAAUAGAUAUUUAAAUUGCUAAUAUGAUUAGUUUUAUUAAUCAUUUGAAUGAUUUAAGCCCAUUACUCUCAUCUUUUGGUGCCAUUUUUGUUAAACUACUUACUUCCAUUACAUAAAUUGCAAAUUAGAUACUCUGGCUUACUUAAAUAUAUGUGUUAUGGUACUCUUGAUGGUUUUCCUUUAUAUACUGUUUAUCCAAUUUCAGCAAAAAGGCAGAUAUUGGAGAGAUAAAAAUUCAUUAUUUUAUAGAAGCUAGUGAAAUUGUUUAUACUUAUUAAGAUAUGGUACUUUCAAUAA